Mesocricetus auratus (golden hamster) is the source of this 362-nucleotide non-coding RNA. NCBI's taxonomy places the organism in Eukaryota, Metazoa, Chordata, Mammalia, Rodentia, Cricetidae. The record is from the annotation of a RefSeq genome assembly.
CCAGGUUACAGCAAGGACAUGGGAUUCCCCACUCAACUCCUGGUAGUCCUGCUGCUCUGGUUCUCAGGUGGCAGAUGUGACAUUCAAAUGACACAAACUCCAUCCUUCCUUUCUGCAUCUUUGGGAGACACAAUCAGCAUCACUUGCCAGGCCAGUCAGGGCAUUAUCAAUUAUUUAAACUGGUACCUGCAGAAACCAGGGAAAGCUCCUAAGCUCCUGAUCUAUUAUACAAACAGCUUGGGAGCUGGAGUCCCAUCGAGGUUCAGUGGCAGUGGGUCUGGGUCACAGUAAUCUCUCACAGUCAGCAGUAUGCAGGCUGAAGUUGCUGGCAUUUAUUUCUGUCAGCACGCUUAUGGUUACCC